Molecule: long non-coding RNA, 560 nt
Organism: Uloborus diversus
Lineage: Eukaryota; Metazoa; Arthropoda; Arachnida; Araneae; Uloboridae
Exons: 3
Source: RefSeq, a predicted model, not a curated record
UCUUCUGUUAUUUUCCAGCUCAAGGCUAUCCUCCUAACACGGAUGACAGCUUUUUAUUACAGUUCCUCCGCCAGCAAAAGUUUAAUUUCGAAAAGGCCGAGAAGAAGCUGAAACAGCACUACGAAAUGCGAGAAAAGGCGAACGAAAUUUACCAAACUAUGGAUUUAGAAGUGUUCAGUUUUAUGGUGGAUUGCAAACUCGUGGGAUUGUUGCCGUUCAGAGACGUAGAAGGAAGGGCUAUUUUUUUCUCCAGCGCAAAAGCAUAUGACAAGAAGAAACACAAGAUGCCUGAUAUGUACAAGUGCGCCCUUGCACAUUUACACUUCGCUAAUUCUUUCCCCCUCUCUUCAGUCAGUGGCAUAAACUAUGUGGGAUUUGUAGACGAUUUGAGUCCUCUUGAUGCUAUCCCGUUUUUCACUGAAGGCAGAAAAUACAUUUGGAUUGAGAGAUGUAGUACUUUCAGGUUACAGAGAAUAGAUUACUUUGAUGAAUUUCCUUUGUUCCGUUAUCUGUGGAAGGGGAUUAGACCUUUUUUGCCCUUAAAAUUUGCUGAAAGAGUA